This 253-nucleotide ribosomal RNA is filed under the name uncultured bacterium. RNAcentral's name for it is "partial 16S ribosomal RNA". It matches the Rfam family "Bacterial small subunit ribosomal RNA", at positions 524 to 776 of the family's 1533-position model. The record is from RNAcentral.
UACGAAGGGGGCUAGCGUUGUCCGGAUUUAUUGGGUUUAAAGGGUGCGUAGGCGGUUUGUCGCGUCUGCUGUGAAAACCCGAGGCUCAACCUCGGGCCUGCAGUGGGUACGGGCAGACUAGAGUGCGGUAGGGGAGAUUGGAAUUCCUGGUGUAGCGGUGGAAUGCGCAGAUAUCAGGAGGAACACCGAUGGCGAAGGCAGAUCUCUGGGCCGUAACUGACGCUGAGGAGCGAAAGCAUGGGGAGCGAACAGG